UACGAAGGGUGCAAGCGUUACUCGGAAUUACUGGGCGUAAAGGGUGCGUAGGUGGUUGUUUAAGUCUGUUGUGAAAGCCCCGGGCUCAACCUGGGAAUGGCAAUGGAUACUGGACAGCUCGAGUGCGGUAGAGGGUAGUGGAAUUCCCGGUGUAGCAGUGAAAUGCGUAGAGAUCGGGAGGAACACCAGUGGCGAAGGCGGCUACCUGGACCAGCACUGACACUGAAGCACGAAAGCGUGGGGAGCAAACAGG
Molecule: ribosomal RNA, 253 nt
Filed under: uncultured bacterium
Lineage: Bacteria
Description: partial 16S ribosomal RNA
Rfam family: Bacterial small subunit ribosomal RNA
Source: RNAcentral